RNAcentral lists this microRNA precursor (133 nucleotides) under Hordeum vulgare. RNAcentral describes it as "microRNA MIR1122". It matches the Rfam family "MIR1120/MIR1122 microRNA precursor family". Lineage: Eukaryota; Viridiplantae; Streptophyta; Magnoliopsida; Poales; Poaceae. The record is from RNAcentral.
UAUAUACUCCCUCCGUCCCAAAUUACUUGUCUUAGAUUUUUCUAGAUGUGGAAGUAUCUUGACACAUUUUAGUGUUAAAUACAUAUGUAUUAAGAAAAUAAAGAUAAAUAAUUUGCGACAGAUGGAGUACUUA